Molecule: ribosomal RNA, 454 nt
Filed under: Naja melanoleuca (forest cobra)
Lineage: Eukaryota; Metazoa; Chordata; Lepidosauria; Squamata; Elapidae
Description: partial 16S ribosomal RNA
Rfam family: Bacterial large subunit ribosomal RNA
Source: RNAcentral
UAUUAAAGGCGACGCCUGCCCAGUGAACAAUUUAACGGCCGCGGUACCCUAACCGUGCAAAGGUAGCGUAAUCACUUGCCUAUUAAUUGUAGGCCUGUAUGAAAGGCAAAACGAGGGCCUAACUGUCUCUUAUAGUAAAUCAAUUAAACUGAUCUCCCAGUCCAAAAGCUGGGAUACCAACAUAAGACCAGAAGACCCUGUGAAGCUUAAACUACACUAUUAAACCAUAUAAUAACUCCUUUCGGUUGGGGCGACCUUGGAAAAAAAAAGAACUUCCAAACAAGACCCAGCAUAGCUGACAACUGAACCAAGUUACUCCAGGGAUAACAGCGCUAUCUUCUUCAAGAGCCCAUAUCAAAAAGAAGGUUUACGACCUCGAUGUUGGAUCAGGACAUCCUAAUGGUGCAGCCGCUAUUAAGGGUUCGUUUGUUCAACGAUUAACAGUCCUACGUGA